Molecule: ribosomal RNA, 2924 nt
Filed under: Staphylococcus aureus
Lineage: Bacteria; Bacillati; Bacillota; Bacilli; Caryophanales; Staphylococcaceae
Description: bacterial LSU rRNA
Rfam family: Bacterial large subunit ribosomal RNA
Source: RNAcentral
AGAUUAAGUUAUUAAGGGCGCACGGUGGAUGCCUUGGCACUAGAAGCCGAUGAAGGACGUUACUAACGACGAUAUGCUUUGGGGAGCUGUAAGUAAGCUUUGAUCCAGAGAUUUCCGAAUGGGGAAACCCAGCAUGAGUUAUGUCAUGUUAUCGAUAUGUGAAUACAUAGCAUAUCAGAAGGCACACCCGGAGAACUGAAACAUCUUAGUACCCGGAGGAAGAGAAAGAAAAUUCGAUUCCCUUAGUAGCGGCGAGCGAAACGGGAAGAGCCCAAACCAACAAGCUUGCUUGUUGGGGUUGUAGGACACUCUAUACGGAGUUACAAAGGACGACAUUAGACGAAUCAUCUGGAAAGAUGAAUCAAAGAAGGUAAUAAUCCUGUAGUCGAAAAUGUUGUCUCUCUUGAGUGGAUCCUGAGUACGACGGAGCACGUGAAAUUCCGUCGGAAUCUGGGAGGACCAUCUCCUAAGGCUAAAUACUCUCUAGUGACCGAUAGUGAACCAGUACCGUGAGGGAAAGGUGAAAAGCACCCCGGGAGGGGAGUGAAAUAGAACCUGAAACCGUGUGCUUACAAGUAGUCAGAGCCCGUUAAUGGGUGAUGGCGUGCCUUUUGUAGAAUGAACCGGCGAGUUACGAUUUGAUGCAAGGUUAAGCAGUAAAUGUGGAGCCGUAGCGAAAGCGAGUCUGAAUAGGGCGUUUAGUAUUUGGUCGUAGACCCGAAACCAGGUGAUCUACCCUUGGUCAGGUUGAAGUUCAGGUAACACUGAAUGGAGGACCGAACCGACUUACGUUGAAAAGUGAGCGGAUGAACUGAGGGUAGCGGAGAAAUUCCAAUCGAACCUGGAGAUAGCUGGUUCUCUCCGAAAUAGCUUUAGGGCUAGCCUCAAGUGAUGAUUAUUGGAGGUAGAGCACUGUUUGGACGAGGGGCCCCUCUCGGGUUACCGAAUUCAGACAAACUCCGAAUGCCAAUUAAUUUAACUUGGGAGUCAGAACAUGGGUGAUAAGGUCCGUGUUCGAAAGGGAAACAGCCCAGACCACCAGCUAAGGUCCCAAAAUAUAUGUUAAGUGGAAAAGGAUGUGGCGUUGCCCAGACAACUAGGAUGUUGGCUUAGAAGCAGCCAUCAUUUAAAGAGUGCGUAAUAGCUCACUAGUCGAGUGACACUGCGCCGAAAAUGUACCGGGGCUAAACAUAUUACCGAAGCUGUGGAUUGUCCUUUGGACAAUGGUAGGAGAGCGUUCUAAGGGCGUUGAAGCAUGAUCGUAAGGACAUGUGGAGCGCUUAGAAGUGAGAAUGCCGGUGUGAGUAGCGAAAGACGGGUGAGAAUCCCGUCCACCGAUUGACUAAGGUUUCCAGAGGAAGGCUCGUCCGCUCUGGGUUAGUCGGGUCCUAAGCUGAGGCCGACAGGCGUAGGCGAUGGAUAACAGGUUGAUAUUCCUGUACCACCUAUAAUCGUUUUAAUCGAUGGGGGGACGCAGUAGGAUAGGCGAAGCGUGCGAUUGGAUUGCACGUCUAAGCAGUAAGGCUGAGUAUUAGGCAAAUCCGGUACUCAUUAAGGCUGAGCUGUGAUGGGGAGAAGACAUUGUGUCUUCGAGUCGUUGAUUUCACACUGCCGAGAAAAGCCUCUAGAUAGAAAAUAGGUGCCCGUACCGCAAACCGACACAGGUAGUCAAGAUGAGAAUUCUAAGGUGAGCGAGCGAACUCUCGUUAAGGAACUCGGCAAAAUGACCCCGUAACUUCGGGAGAAGGGGUGCUCUUUAGGGUUAACGCCCAGAAGAGCCGCAGUGAAUAGGCCCAAGCGACUGUUUAUCAAAAACACAGGUCUCUGCUAAACCGUAAGGUGAUGUAUAGGGGCUGACGCCUGCCCGGUGCUGGAAGGUUAAGAGGAGUGGUUAGCUUCUGCGAAGCUACGAAUCGAAGCCCCAGUAAACGGCGGCCGUAACUAUAACGGUCCUAAGGUAGCGAAAUUCCUUGUCGGGUAAGUUCCGACCCGCACGAAAGGCGUAACGAUUUGGGCACUGUCUCAACGAGAGACUCGGUGAAAUCAUAGUACCUGUGAAGAUGCAGGUUACCCGCGACAGGACGGAAAGACCCCGUGGAGCUUUACUGUAGCCUGAUAUUGAAAUUCGGCACAGCUUGUACAGGAUAGGUAGGAGCCUUUGAAACGUGAGCGCUAGCUUACGUGGAGGCGCUGGUGGGAUACUACCCUAGCUGUGUUGGCUUUCUAACCCGCACCACUUAUCGUGGUGGGAGACAGUGUCAGGCGGGCAGUUUGACUGGGGCGGUCGCCUCCUAAAAGGUAACGGAGGCGCUCAAAGGUUCCCUCAGAAUGGUUGGAAAUCAUUCAUAGAGUGUAAAGGCAUAAGGGAGCUUGACUGCGAGACCUACAAGUCGAGCAGGGUCGAAAGACGGACUUAGUGAUCCGGUGGUUCCGCAUGGAAGGGCCAUCGCUCAACGGAUAAAAGCUACCCCGGGGAUAACAGGCUUAUCUCCCCCAAGAGUUCACAUCGACGGGGAGGUUUGGCACCUCGAUGUCGGCUCAUCGCAUCCUGGGGCUGUAGUCGGUCCCAAGGGUUGGGCUGUUCGCCCAUUAAAGCGGUACGCGAGCUGGGUUCAGAACGUCGUGAGACAGUUCGGUCCCUAUCCGUCGUGGGCGUAGGAAAUUUGAGAGGAGCUGUCCUUAGUACGAGAGGACCGGGAUGGACAUACCUCUGGUGUACCAGUUGUCGUGCCAACGGCAUAGCUGGGUAGCUAUGUGUGGACGGGAUAAGUGCUGAAAGCAUCUAAGCAUGAAGCCCCCCUCAAGAUGAGAUUUCCCAACUUCGGUUAUAAGAUCCCUCAAAGAUGAUGAGGUUAAUAGGUUCGAGGUGGAAGCAUGGUGACAUGUGGAGCUGACGAAUACUAAUCGAUCGAAGACUUAAUCAA